UACAGAGGGUGCGAGCGUUAAUCGGAAUUACUGGGCGUAAAGCGUGCGUAGACGGUUAUUUAAGUCGGGUGUGAAAGCCCCGGGCUCAACCUGGGAAUUGCAUUCGAGACUGAAUAGCUAGGGUACGGUAGAGGGAAGCGGAAUUUCCGGUGUAGCGGUGAAAUGCGUAGAUAUCGGAAGGAACAGCAGUGGCGAAAGCGGCUUCCUGGACCAAUACUGACGCUCAUGUGCGAAAGCGUGGGGAGCAAACAGG
This 253-nucleotide ribosomal RNA is filed under the name uncultured bacterium. Its description in RNAcentral is "partial 16S ribosomal RNA". It matches the Rfam family "Bacterial small subunit ribosomal RNA", at positions 524 to 776 of the family's 1533-position model. The record is from RNAcentral.